This is a long non-coding RNA of Brassica rapa (field mustard), 3134 nucleotides long. RefSeq lists it as uncharacterized. NCBI's taxonomy places the organism in Eukaryota, Viridiplantae, Streptophyta, Magnoliopsida, Brassicales, Brassicaceae. The record is from RefSeq and is a predicted model, not a curated record.
AUAAUUAACAUUUCAGCAUCGUCAAAGACAGAUGACCGACACGUAGAAACACGUGACUAGUAUGGAUCACUUCUGUAGGUCAGGAUACCUCUGUAUAAUUUAGAAAAAAAAGGACAUGUAAACCCACGUUCUGACCGGAUUAAAACAUUUGACUAUAUGAUGUAAAGGAUUGUUAUCUUUUCUUUUUGUUGGGCUUAGCGUGUUCGGUUUAAUAUGAAUUAACUAAGAACGGUGCCGCUAGCACCACAAGACGUUUUGGUUAGGAAUAAAAUAAAUACUGUAUAUUGAACAAAUGCUUGAUUGGUGCCCUAUAAUAUGCACAUUUAUACGCAACAUUGACAGCUUAGAUGAUCUAAAUUAUUGCUAUAGUAAUUACUCAUUUUUUUAGUGUGAAUAGUGACUACAAUAUUAAUAUUGCUUUUACACACGAGGCUUUGUGUACGCAAAAAAAAAAGCUAGCAACUUUCAUAAACCUACUACGUACAAAGCAGUUUUUAACAAGACUUGAAAGAAGCGCCACUAACAUUUAAUAAGACGAUGGGGGUUAAAGGCUUCUUCUACAGAUCUUGAUUACGUUAGAAUCAGCUUAUCCUUCUUGGGCCUUACUAGCCCACCGUUCUUUUAUCCCCUAACUAACUUGACCCAUGAGUUAUACUCUAAAAAAACAACAAAUAAUAAUAUUUUAUUUUAAUAUUUAAAAGAGCAGGGCCCAACCGGGUUCGAACCGGUGACCUAUUGAUCUGCAGUCAAUUGCUCUACCACUGAGCUAUGGACCCAUCAUGUUUUUAAAUACUUAAGUUUCAUAUUAGUUGUCCUCAGUUUUUCUAAAACCUCACAUGUUUAGUCAAUUAUCUAGUACUCAUUUUUCAGCAAAAUCACUUCUCAUUUUUCCAAUGUUGAAUAAAACAAAAAAUAUUGAAGGUUGAAUACAUAUAUAUAUAUAUAUAUAUAUGACGAGUGAGAAGACAAUUCAUUAAUAAACAGAUUAGUAUAAAUGUCAUUCAAAAAAUUUAGAAUGUGGGAAAAAAAUACAAUAACUGAAACGCUGAACUAAUUGAUGGCUCGUAUCUUAUUUGGAUUAAUAUAUAUACCUAAUGAAUUUUAAUUUUAAUGUUUAUUUUAUACAAAUUUCAAAUUAUUAAAUUAGAUAUUUAUUUUAAUGUUUUAUAUUUAUUUAUGGGAUGUAGAUAUUGAAUCAGAAAAUAGUAAUAAUAAAAUCAUUCUUAGAAUUGAAACUAAACACUUAUUAUAUUUGCAGACUUAAAAAAGUUCACUGGCAUUGAAAAGAUUAUAAACAAUCACAAUACAUAAACAUCAACAGAAUAACAAUAGCCAGUAAAUAUUAUAUAUUUUUUUAUAAUUUAUAUUUUAAAAACAGUUAGACAAAAACACAAAAUAAAUAAAUUAUAAAACAUUAUCUCUAUAUUCUCUUAGAUUAUAUUUAUAUUAUGUUUAUUAUUUGUCAAUUGUAAUGUUAUUUAAUGUUUUUAUCCUAGUUUUUCAUUCUUCCAUAUUUUUAAUAUUUUUGGGUUAAUUUUUAUUUUAUCGUUUAUAUAAUAUUUAUUAUUUUAGUUUUAAGUAUAUUGUUUUGAUAACAUUUGUGAUUUUAGGAAUCAAAAUAUAAUUUUAUGUUCGUCAUGUUCAAAUAUUAAUUUAUUUUAGGUUAGGAAUAUAAUUUUUUAAUAUUCAAAAUAUAUAAAAUAUUUAACAUAAGAAUACAUUUUAUAUUUUACGAUAUUUCUAAUGAUGCUUUACCUUUAAUCUUAAAUUUAAUUUUGCAAUAAUAUGUAUUUGGAUCAAUAUUUUUAAUAAGAAUCGGAGAAACUGCUAUAAUAUUAAUCAUUAAAAUCAUAACUAAAUAUAAGAUAAACAUAAUUAUGAUACUAUUAUCAGUAGAAUUUGUUUAAUAUCUAUUGUUAAUAUGAUAAUAUCUAUUUAUUAAUAAAAUAUACUAAAUAUCAUGAUAGUAUAUAUAUUAAAAUACUGUUUAGAAAAUAAUAGUAUAUGCAUAUUGGUAGAAUUAGUUAAUAUUUGUUUAUUAAUUAUCUUAAAUUUCAUGAUAAAUAUAUACAUAUAUAAAUAAAAUAUUAAAUAAUAUUAAUUAAACUAAUGACUUAUCCUAAAAUUAUGGAGAAGAUGACAAAUCAACAAAUUUACUUCUAAAAUUUUACUAUAGAUAAGGAUUAUUAUUCUAAUAUUCCCACUUGAUUUUGCUUGCUUUUUUAAAGGCUUCUUAUUUUAAUCAAUGUUUAGAAUAAUAUUGCAAGUAAUCUUCAGUUAUUAAAUUAGUAUUAGUAUACUUCUUAAAACCAUAUACAUAAAUAUAUUACCUAUAGAAGAUGUUGAGAUCUAAUCAUAGUUAUUUGCAUAUUAAGUUUUUAAUUUGUACAUGUUGAUGAUUUACCUUUUGGUUCAACUUCUCUUGUUAUCCACAUUGAAGUUUUUUAAAAAAAAUUUCUUCUUAUUUGUUUUUGCCUUAACUUCAUUUGUUAUUGCCUUAACUUCAAAUUCAAAACCCUGGUGGACUUUACCAUAUAUAUAAUUUUCAAGGUAAGUUUAUAAUUUUACAGUUACAAAUAAGUAUAAUUUUAUCUUUACACAUUUUACCAAACUUAUUCAUUGAAUGUCUCUGUUACCAAAUCUCAACCCAUUAAAUAAUUUCCUAUUUUGGUAUUUGACAAAAAUAAUCAUGUAUUAGAGAUUUGACUAUUCCAUUUGUUAUAUAUACGCAUGUUCCCCUUUUAAUUAUUUUUAGACCAAGCAAAACAAACUUUAAUUAUCAAAAUAUUAUUCAAGCGAUGGCUUUGUCAAAGUCCCAACUUGCAACACUUCUCAUCUUAUGUUCUUUGCUAUUUGUUUCCCAAUCAAAAAUAUUGAAGAUAGAAGGAAAAGGCAACCCUCCUGACGAAUGUAAAUUUAGAGGUGGGUGCAAUACUAGCGAAGAGUGUAAAAUUCCAUGCGGACCGCCUCGUUUCCCACUGGGAACUAUUGGUUUAUGUGUGCGAGAUCCUUUUGCUCACUCUGCCGUACAUCUUUGUUGUUGUGCGCCUAAAAAUUCAUCAUAAUGAAUGUUGGUCGAAUAUCUAUAUUAUUUAUGAAUUUAAUGAGAUAAUAAGAAUAUUUUGGUUUUUACA